GGCACGCGUGCAGAGGCCCACACACACAGAAGGCGGAGCCCCCGGGUGGAGUGGCUGGCUCCCGGACCACCCAGCAGUCUGGAAGGCGCCCCUGUGUAGCUGCCCUAGAAGACUGUAUACAUACUGAUAACCUAAUGAUUGAAGGGGAGAUUCGGGAAAGGGAUCAUCUCCGGAUGGUGGAGCCUGUCUGCCAGGCAGUGGGAACCUCGGGAUCUGGAAUGUGGGUGGAUGCUGAGUACAGCAGGCUCUGGGAGGGAGUCAGAGCACGGGGAGAUGGGAACAGAAGGAUCAGAAAUUCAAGUCCAGCUUUGGAGAGAUGACACCAAGGCUAGCCUGGGCUACAUGAGAUCCAGCGUAAAUUGGCCCCCUCCAGAAAUGUAAAUAAAGAGUCAGCGGC
This 397-nucleotide long non-coding RNA is filed under the name Mus pahari (shrew mouse). RNAcentral describes it as "predicted gene 13830 (MGP_PahariEiJ_G0005309.1)". Lineage: Eukaryota; Metazoa; Chordata; Mammalia; Rodentia; Muridae. The record is from RNAcentral.